UUUUUCUUCUCCUCCUCCUCUUCUUCUUCUUCCUUUCCUUUUUCCUCUUCUUCUUCUCCUCCUCUCCUCUUUUUUUCUUCUUCUUCUUCUUUCCUCAAACUAAACUAAACCUAAAACUAAACCUAAAUCUAAAACUAAAACUAAAACUAAAACUAAAUCUAAACUAAACAUAAACCUAAAACUAAAAAAACAGAAAAAAGGAAAAAACUAAAUCUAAACCUAAAACUAAACUAAAACUAAACCUAAAACUAAACCUAAAACUAAAACUAAAACUAAUCUAAACUAAACAUAAACCUAAAACUAAAAAACAGAAAAAAGGAAAAAAGAGGAGGUAGAGCUCACCUGGGGCAGGG
RNAcentral lists this long non-coding RNA (353 nucleotides) under Triticum aestivum (bread wheat). Its description in RNAcentral is "long non-coding RNA (TAES_LNC008302)". The record is from RNAcentral. Lineage: Eukaryota; Viridiplantae; Streptophyta; Magnoliopsida; Poales; Poaceae.